GACUCUCGGCAACGGAUAUCUCGGCUCUCGCAUCGAUGAAGAACGUAGCGAAAUGCGAUACUUGGUGUGAAUUACAGAAUCCCGUGAACCAUCGAGUCUUUGAACGUAAGUUGCGCCCCAAUCCAUUAGGCCGAGGGCACGUCUGCCUGGGUGUCA
This 156-nucleotide ribosomal RNA is filed under the name Gossypium arboreum. Its description in RNAcentral is "5.8S ribosomal RNA". It matches the Rfam family "5.8S ribosomal RNA". From Rfam's summary of the family: 5.8S ribosomal RNA (5.8S rRNA) is a component of the large subunit of the eukaryotic ribosome. Lineage: Eukaryota; Viridiplantae; Streptophyta; Magnoliopsida; Malvales; Malvaceae. The record is from Rfam by way of RNAcentral.